Molecule: ribosomal RNA, 180 nt
Filed under: uncultured Gammaproteobacteria bacterium
Lineage: Bacteria; Pseudomonadati; Pseudomonadota; Gammaproteobacteria
Description: partial 16S ribosomal RNA
Rfam family: Bacterial small subunit ribosomal RNA
Source: RNAcentral
ACUCCUACGGGAGGCAGCAGUGGGGAAUAUUGCACAAUGGGCGCAAGCCUGAUGCAGCCAUGCCGCGUGUGUGAAGAAGGCCUUCGGGUUGUAAAGCACUUUCAGUCAGGAGGAAAGGUUAACGGUUAAUACCCGUUAGCUGUGACGUUACUGACAGAAGAAGCACCGGCUAACNACCNG